This 253-nucleotide ribosomal RNA is filed under the name uncultured bacterium. Its description in RNAcentral is "partial 16S ribosomal RNA". It matches the Rfam family "Bacterial small subunit ribosomal RNA", at positions 524 to 776 of the family's 1533-position model. The record is from RNAcentral.
UACGGGGGGGGCAAGCGUUGUUCGGAAUUACUGGGCGUAAAGGGCUCGUAGGCGGCCAACUAAGUCAGACGUGAAAUCCCUCGGCUUAACCGGGGAACUGCGUCUGAUACUGGAUGGCUUGAGUUUGGGAGAGGGAUGCGGAAUUCCAGGUGUAGCGGUGAAAUGCGUAGAUAUCGUGAGGAAUACCAGAGGCGAAGGCGGCUACCUGGACAAUUGCUGACGCUCAGGCACGAAAGCGUGGGGAGCAAAAGGG